AUGAAUGGUAAUUGAUCACAAUGCAUGAUUAGGGUGCUGCUCUGGUCUCCAUUGGAGCUCAGGACUUGAAGUCCCAAACACUCGUCCUCAAUUCAGGUCACAGCAGCUUGUGAGAGGACGAAGAAUGGGAAUAAAAGGCCUUUUGCCCCUUUUCAAGUCGAUAAUGGCGCCCAUCCGCAUCAACGACUUAGAGGGCUGUCGUGUUGCCGUUGAUGCUUACUCUUGGCUCCACAAAUGCGCUUUGGCUUGCAGUAGUGAGCUUUGCAAAGGAUUACCCACCUCCAGAAAGGAACGUAGUAGCUGAGAUGGAAUUUUAAAGAGGGAUGAAGUAUUCACACAUUUGCAUGGAUGUGGUACUGAAUAUACAAAAAUUAGAGCUAAUGGCUUUGCAUCUCUGGAAGCAAAGAGAGAUUUCUGGGCUCCUCGAAUAUCACCUAUAAAUUCAAGUCCAGUAGAUAAAUCGUCUCUCAGUCCCAAGGAAUAUUGCAGUGCAGAGGCGCAUCUAGUUGCAUGCACUGCACUUCAGAAUCCCCACUUGACUCUGAAAAUGGGGGAAGCACCCCACCUGAUGACACAGUGAGUAAUAAUGCCAUAACUUAUGAUAACUUUCAGUUAUUACUUGGUUGAAGUCUUCUUGCCUUGUACAAUUUGUAAAAUUCCUCUUGUUUGCUGCUGAAGUUCUUUUAUUUUCAUUCUCUCCAACUUUGGGUAAGGAUAUAGCAUCUUCAAACAGGUCUGCAAAUUCAAUUGUGAGUUAUGUUAGUUAGACUACUCACCUAAUUGUAUAUUUAUGACACCAAAGGCAUGACCAAUGAGAAAGGAAGUUUGGAAGACACCUUGCUCCAACAAUUCAGACAUUUAAUGCAUAAAACUUGUCAAGCAUUACUAAAGGAGUGUGAUUGUUAGAAUGUUCAAAUGCCAAAUGCAGUUGAAGACAAAAGAAACAGAUAGCAGAAAGGUCAUAGUAUGGAGUUCUUAUUUUAUGCACAAAUCAACAAAAAAGAGUCCUGAAAAUGAUAAACAAGAAAAGCUCUUAGUCGAGAAUGAUUUUGCCAGUGAUCCAUGUGAUAAUGUCAUUCUUAAAAGUUUUUACAAGACAAAAACAGCAAACAACAAGGUUGUUGUAAGGAGCUCUUAUUUUCAGUACAAGUCAGUGAACAAGAAUGAUCAAGUGAAUGAACGGGGAAGGCUCUUAUCAUUAUUUAAAAUGCUUCUUCAGAGAAUAAUAGCAUCACCAUGUAACGAAAGACAUGCCCAAUUGAAACUGUUCAAAGACUUCCGUUGAAUAUGAAACUCAAGCACGUGUGAACAUUCAUCUCUUUCUGAGAAUGGUUACUGUCCUCCUAAUCUUGAGGAAAAAUAUACGGGACAAAGAAAGAAGGAAAGUUUGGGUCUAACAUUUCACACAUAGAUCAUUAUUCUGACAUAGCGGAGAAAUCAAUGGAGAGAUUUGUUUCAGUCAUAUCAUAAUUAGGAUUCUCCGCAUCUGGUUCUCGUGCUAGUGGUCUUCGUGCCCCUCUAAAAGAUAUUUGAAACAGGUGCCAACUGCUUGUAACAUAUGCUCAUCUACAUCCAUAACUUGGUCUCUAUUGACUUUAGGUUAAGUGGUAGUGUGGACUUUAGCCAUUUUGCUUAUACACACCAACCAACAAGAGGAGUCAGAAGACUGGACUAGCACUGCACAGAUGCUGAAUUUGUAAGAACAUGGAAUGGAGAAUGUAUAUUGGCUGAGAGUCCUAACUCAUUUCAAUAGCAGGAACUUUGGAUUC
Molecule: RNA transcript, 1769 nt
Organism: Hevea brasiliensis (rubber tree)
Lineage: Eukaryota; Viridiplantae; Streptophyta; Magnoliopsida; Malpighiales; Euphorbiaceae
Gene name: exonuclease 1
Exons: 5
Source: RefSeq, a predicted model, not a curated record